AGCUCUCACUCUCAACACUUACCACUCUAGAACAGAAGACCCAGGCCAAGAAAAAUACAGGGUCUGCACCUGAGAGUAAAUGCCUUCUUAAAUGUUGCAUUCCAGGCAACUCCCUUGCUUUACCCUAUCCUGAGAUAGAAAAACUCAUCCUGAUCUACAGUCCAUUCAGUAGGACCUUGAUGUCUUUUGCAUUGUUGGUUGUUGCUGUGUAACAAACUACCCCCAAAAUUCAGUGGCUUAAAAUAACAACCAUUUAUUUAUAUCAUGAUUCUGGAGAUUGGCAACUUCUGCUGGGCUCAGUUGGCCAAUUCUUCUGGUCUCAGCUGGGCUAUCUCACGGAACCUUGCUCAGCUGUGGGUGGGCUAGAUGGCUCUGCUUCUGAGAGUUGACUGGCUGUUGACUGGAUUGCCUCAGAUUGGCUCCGAGAGGGCUCUCAUCUUCCAACCAGGGCUUGUUCUCAUGGAAAGUAGAACCUCUCCUUCUUCCCCUGAAGGACCCUGGUAUCAAGCAACCCACAAAGCCUUACACUUGAGUCAGCCUGAAUGACAACAGCUGUGAAAAUUUCUUAUCAAAAUCAGUGCUUCUCAAAGAGUGACCUCUUCAACAAAUGAUGCUGGGACAACUGGGCAUCCACAUGCAAAAGAAUGAAGUUGGACCUCUACCUCAUACCAUAUACAAAAACCAACUCGAAACGGACCAAAGACCUAGAAGUAAGAGCUAAAACUAUGAAACUCCUAGAAGAAAGCUUAGGGAUAUAUCUUCAUGACCUUGGACUUGGCAAAGUAUUCUUAGAUAUUAGACAAAAAGCAUGAGCCACAAAAGAAAAAUAGAUAAAUUGGACUUCAAAAUUAAAAACUUUUGUGCAUCAAAGGACACCAUCAAGAAAGUGAAAAGACAACCCACAAAAAGGGACAAAAGAUUUGCACAUCAUAAAGGGUCUAGUAUCCAGCAUAUGUAAAGAACUUUUACAACUUGACAGCAAAAAGACAAACAACCCAAGAAGAAGUGGCAAUGGAUUUUAGUGAAUGGCUAACAGCCCCUGCCACAGAAGGCGAGUCAAGAACUUGUGCCUUAUGGAAUACUACUCAGCUGCAAAACAGAACAAAAUCAUUCCAUUUGCAAUAACAUGGAUGGACCUUGAGAGAAUUAUGUUAAGUGAAAUAAGCCAGCGAGAGAAAGAUAAUCUGUGUAUGACUCCACUCAUACGAGGAAUUUAAAAUUAUGGACUAAGAACAGUUUAGUGGAUACCAGGGGA
This 1255-nucleotide long non-coding RNA is filed under the name Equus caballus (horse). RNAcentral describes it as "lncRNA (ENSECAG00000059488.1)". The record is from RNAcentral. Lineage: Eukaryota; Metazoa; Chordata; Mammalia; Perissodactyla; Equidae.